GUCCAGUAUUAAGGUUGGCCUUCGGGCUGUGGGUACAAAAAUCUAUAUUAAUUGUUAAAAAUGCAAAGAAAUCAUAAAUAUGAUUCAUGCAUAGACACCUUGCUGGAGAGGACAAUCUGAUAGAGAUGGAAAAGAGGUGUGAAGGAGGGAUUCUCCUGGCUGUCAUUUUCAUCGCCAAGGGUGCUAGUAUAGGGAGGAUAUGGAGGAGGUACUCGUGCUCACCGCAGGUGACCAUCCCCGACCGGCCAUGAAUCAUCUCCUCGCAGUGUGAUGGAACUGACCAUCCCCAACCGGCCAUGAAUCGUCCUCGCAGGUGAUCGUCCGCGACCAGCCAUGGAUCAUCCUCGUAGUGCGAUGGAACUAACCAUAUACGAAUGAAUUGAAGUAGCUAGAAAAUAAAACUAAAGAUAUUUUUAAAAGAAAUAAUAAUAAGUAAGAAGAAUGGUGUCAAGGGAGGGAGGCUGGAUCUAAUGUGCAGCGGAGGACUGAUCAUUAUGUAUAUACUUUGGCUGUGUUAAACAGUAGAAAUAUUUAAACGUUUGACCAAUUUUUGCCAUGUUAAACAGUACAUAAAUAUGACAUAUGAGCAUGUGCGGUGAACUGCUCACCUGUAUAUAUUUUGGCUGUUCAGCAUUGAGAAGAUGACACUGAUCCAAAAUGAUUAUAUCAAUUUAGCAUCAUUUGUUCAGACGAUGCCGAAAUAUUGUGAGUAUAGAAAUAAGACAAAUAUGACAUACAGUACACUAAAUGACGCCUUGAAUUUCAUAGAAGUCUGUUGGCCAAGUAAUCAACAACGAAAUUCUAAAAUCAACCAAGAAUUCUACCCUGCACUCAAAUCUUCAGUUGACCAAAUUAUAUAUAUCAAGAUGAGAAUAAUGUACCAUGAUGCAAAAAAAAGAUGGAACCAAUAUGCUACAGGAAGUUACUGAAACAACAAAGCAAAUAUGAAUUAUAUCACCUAGAGUGGUCAUCAACGGUGGCAGCAGCUUUUCCUUCAGCGCACUUGGUAAUAUAGCAGACAAUCUA
RNAcentral lists this long non-coding RNA (1026 nucleotides) under Triticum aestivum (bread wheat). Its description in RNAcentral is "long non-coding RNA (TAES_LNC006299)". Lineage: Eukaryota; Viridiplantae; Streptophyta; Magnoliopsida; Poales; Poaceae. The record is from RNAcentral.